Molecule: ribosomal RNA, 604 nt
Filed under: Candidatus Amoebinatus sp. Muzt-C71
Lineage: Bacteria; Pseudomonadati; Bacteroidota; Flavobacteriia; Flavobacteriales; Flavobacteriaceae
Description: bacterial SSU rRNA
Rfam family: Bacterial small subunit ribosomal RNA
Source: RNAcentral
CACAUGCAAGCCGAGCGGCUAUGGAUAGCUUGCUAUCCAGAGAGCGGCGCACGGGUGCGUAACACGUGUGCAACCUACCUUUAUCUGGGGGUAUAGCCUUUCGAAAGGAAGAUUAAUACCCCAUAAUAUAAUUGAUGGCAUCAUUGAUUAUUGAAAACUCCGGUGGAUAGAGAUGGGCACGCGCAAGAUUAGAUAGUUGGUGAGGUAACGGCUCACCAAGUCUGUGAUCUUUAGGGGUCCUGAGAGGGAGAUCCCCCACACUGGUACUGAGACACGGACCAGACUCCUACGGGAGGCAGCAGUGAGGAAUAUUGGACAAUGGGUGAGAGCCUGAUCCAGCCAUCCCGCGUGAAGGAUGACGGUCCUAUGGAUUGUAAACUUCUUUUGUACAGGGAUAAACCUACCCUCGUGAGGGUAGCUGAAGGUACUGUACGAAUAAGCACCGGCUAACUCCGUGCCAGCAGCCGCCGUAAUACGGAGGGUGCAAGCGUUAUCCGGAUUUAUUGGGUUUAAAGGGUCCGUAGGCGGACCUGUAAGUCAGGUGCUGAAAUCUCAAUAGCCUUAACUAUGAAACCGCCAUUGAUACUGCAGGUCUUGAGUAAAU